This 274-nucleotide ribosomal RNA is filed under the name uncultured bacterium. RNAcentral describes it as "partial 16S ribosomal RNA". It matches the Rfam family "Bacterial small subunit ribosomal RNA", at positions 523 to 796 of the family's 1533-position model. The record is from RNAcentral.
AUACGGAGGAUCCGAGCGUUAUCCGGAUUUAUUAGGUUUAAAGGGUGCGCAGGCGGAACUGUAAGUCACCGGUGAAAUCCUACAGCUUAACUGUAGAACUGCCGGUGAUACUGCGAUUCUUGAGUAUAGUUGAGGUAGGCGGAAUGUGUAGUGUAGCGGUGAAAUGCAUAGAUAUUACACAGAACACCGAUUGCGAAGGCAGCUUACUAAACUAUUACUGACGCUCAUGCACGAAAGCGUGGGGAGCGAACAGGAUUAGAAACCCGUGUAGUCC